GAUCCUGGCUCAGGACGAACGCUGGCGGCGCGCCUAACACAUGCAAGUCGAACGGGACUAUUUGGCCGGAAGUUUUCGGAUGGAAGGCCGGAUAGUUUAGUGGCGGACGGGUGAGUAACACGUGAGCAACCUGCCUCUGAGAGGGGAAUAACGGCUGGAAACGGUCGCUAAUACCGCAUAACGUAUCGGGGGGACAUCCCCCUGGUACCAAAGAUUUUAUCGCUCAGAGAUGGGCUCGCGUCCGAUUAGGUAGUUGGUGGGAU
Molecule: ribosomal RNA, 263 nt
Filed under: uncultured bacterium
Lineage: Bacteria
Description: partial 16S ribosomal RNA
Rfam family: Bacterial small subunit ribosomal RNA
Source: RNAcentral